This 313-nucleotide ribosomal RNA is filed under the name uncultured bacterium. RNAcentral describes it as "bacterial SSU rRNA". It matches the Rfam family "Bacterial small subunit ribosomal RNA", at positions 28 to 342 of the family's 1533-position model. The record is from RNAcentral.
GACGAACGCUGGCGGCGUGCUUAACACAUGCAAGUCGAGCGGUAAGGCCCUUUCGGGGGUACACGAGCGGCGAACGGGUGAGUAACACGUGGGUGACCUGCCCUCAGCUCUGGGAUAAGCCUGGGAAACCGGGUCUAAUACUGGAUAUGACUCCAUGACGCAUGUUGUGGGGUGGAAAGCCUUGUGCGGCUGAGGAUGGGCCCGCGGCCUAUCAGCUUGUUGGUGGGGUGANGGCCUACCAAGGCGACGACGGGUAGCCGGCCUGAGAGGGCGACCGGCCACACUGGGACUGAGACACGGCCCAGACUCUUAC